GCAGAGAAUAGGCCCAAGCGACUGUUUACCAAAAACAUAGGUUUCUGCUAAGUCGCAAGACGAUGUAUAGGAGCUGACGCCUGCCCGGUGCUGGAAGGUUAAGGAGAUCUGUUAGAGCAAUCGAAGCAGUGAACUUAAGCCCCAGUAAACGGCGGCCGUAACUAUAACGGUCCUAAGGUAGCGAAAUUCCUUGUCGGGUAAGUUCCGACCCG
Molecule: ribosomal RNA, 212 nt
Filed under: Clostridioides difficile
Lineage: Bacteria; Bacillati; Bacillota; Clostridia; Peptostreptococcales; Peptostreptococcaceae
Description: partial 23S ribosomal RNA
Rfam family: Bacterial large subunit ribosomal RNA
Source: RNAcentral